AUUGAACGCUGGCGGCAGGCCUAACACAUGCAAGUCGAACGGUAGCACAGAGAGCUUGCUCUCGGGUGACGAGUGGCGGACGGGUGAGUAAUGUCUGGGAAACUGCCCGAUGGAGGGGGAUAACUACUGGAAACGGUAGCUAAUACCGCAUAACGUCGCAAGACCAAAGAGGGGGACCUUCGGGCCUCUUGCCAUCGGAUGUGCCCAGAUGGGAUUAGCUUGUAGGUGAGGUAACGGCUCACCUAGGCGACGAUCCCUAGCUGGUCUGAGAGGAUGACCAGCCACACUGGAACUGAGACACGGUCCAGACUCCUACGGGAGGCAGCAGUGGGGAAUAUUGCACAAUGGGCGCAAGCCUGAUGCAGCCAUGCCGCGUGUAUGAAGAAGGCCUUCGGGUUGUAAAGUACUUUCAGCGGGGAGGAAGGGAGUGAGGUUAAUAACCUCAUUCAUUGACGUUACCCGCAGAAGAAGCACCGGCUAACUCCGUGCCAGCAGCCGCGGUAAUACGGAGGGUGCGAGCGUUAAUCGGAAUUACUGGGCGUAAAGCGCACGCAGGCGGUCUGUCAAGUCGGAUGUGAAAUCCCCGGGCUCAACCUGGGAACUGCAUUCGAAACUGGCAGGCUGGAGUCUUGUAGAGGGGGGUAGAAUUCCAGGUGUAGCGGUGAAAUGCGUAGAGAUCUGGAGGAAUACCGGUGGCGAAGGCGGCCCCCUGGACAAAGACUGACGCUCAGGUGCGAAAGCGUGGGGAGCAAACAGGAUUAGAUACCCUGGUAGUCCACGCUGUAAACGAUGUCGACUUGGAGGUUGUUCCCUUGAGGAGUGGCUUCCGGAGCUAACGCGUUAAGUCGACCGCCUGGGGAGUACGGCCGCAAGGUUAAAACUCAAAUGAAUUGACGGGGGCCCGCACAAGCGGUGGAGCAUGUGGUUUAAUUCGAUGCAACGCGAAGAACCUUACCUACUCUUGACAUCCAGAGAACUUAGCAGAGAUGCUUUGGUGCCUUCGGGAACUCUGAGACAGGUGCUGCAUGGCUGUCGUCAGCUCGUGUUGUGAAAUGUUGGGUUAAGUCCCGCAACGAGCGCAACCCUUAUCCUUUGUUGCCAGCGAUUCGGUCGGGAACUCAAAGGAGACUGCCAGUGAUAAACUGGAGGAAGGUGGGGAUGACGUCAAGCCAUCAUGGCCCUUACGAGUAGGGCUACACACGUGCUACAAUGGCAUAUACAAAGAGAAGCGACCUCGCGAGAGCAAGCGGACCUCAUAAAGUAUGUCGUAGUCCGGAUUGGAGUCUGCAACUCGACUCCAUGAAGUCGGAAUCGCUAGUAAUCGUGGAUCAGAAUGCCACGGUGAAUACGUUCCCGGGCCU
RNAcentral lists this ribosomal RNA (1361 nucleotides) under uncultured bacterium. Its description in RNAcentral is "bacterial SSU rRNA". It matches the Rfam family "Bacterial small subunit ribosomal RNA", at positions 28 to 1381 of the family's 1533-position model. The record is from RNAcentral.